AACGAACGCUGGCGGCAUGCCUAACACAUGCCAGUCGAACGAGACCUUCGGGUCUAGUGGCGCACGGGUGCGUAACGCGUGGGAACCUGCCCUUAGGUUCGGAAUAACUCCCCGAAAGGGGUGCUAAUACCGGAUAAUGUCUUCGGACCAAAGAUUUAUCGCCUUUGGAUGGGCCCGCGUUGGAUUAGCUAGUUGGUAGGGUAAAAGCCUACCAAGGCGACGAUCCAUAGCUGGUCUGAGAGGAUGAUCAGCCACACUGGGACUGAGACACGGCCCAGACUCCUACGGGAGGCAGCAGUGGGGAAUAUUGGACAAUGGGCGAAAGCCUGAUCCAGCAAUGCCGCGUAAGUGAUGAAGGCCUUAGGGUUGUAAAGCUCUUUUACCCGGGAUGAUAAUGACAGUACCGGGAGAAUAAGCUCCGGCUAACUCCGUG
Molecule: ribosomal RNA, 433 nt
Filed under: uncultured bacterium
Lineage: Bacteria
Description: partial 16S ribosomal RNA
Rfam family: Bacterial small subunit ribosomal RNA
Source: RNAcentral